This 224-nucleotide long non-coding RNA is filed under the name Ricinus communis (castor bean). RNAcentral describes it as "long non-coding RNA (RCOM_LNC002409)". Lineage: Eukaryota; Viridiplantae; Streptophyta; Magnoliopsida; Malpighiales; Euphorbiaceae. The record is from RNAcentral.
CAUCUCGAUGGUCCUCCUGUCAGAACAGUGCAAAUCAGACGCCCUCUUUUCAACCUCAUCCAAAAAGUCUAGAGGGUCUCCAGCUGUCCCAUCAAACUCCACAGGUCUUAACUUGGUAUACUCAGACAUAGGGACAUCGUCCGGAUUCCUAAUACCGGACCCACUAGCACGGCUUCCUGCACCCUGAGCAGCCUGCUGCUGCUGAAAGGCUAGCAACUGCUCUA